UUUUUGAAAAUAAUUUAAAGUUUAAUUUGCCCACUGAUNAAAUUAUUAAAGGGCUGCAGUAUUUUGACUGUACAAAGGUAGCAUAAUCAUUAGUCUCUUAAUUGGUGACUUGUAUGAAAGAUUGGAUGAAAUAUAUACUGUCUCUAUUUAAUUUAUAAAAUUUAAUUUUUUAGUAAAAAAGCUAAAAUGAAUUUAAAAGACGAGAAGACCCUAUAGAGUUUGAUAAUUUAUUUAAUUAUUAUUAAUAUAUAAAUUUUAAAAUUAAAAUUAAAUAAAUUAUUUUGUUGGGGUGAUAGAAAAAUUAAAUUAACUUUUUUUUUAUUUUAUACAUUAAUUUAUGAAUGAAUGAUCCAUUAAUAAUGAUUAAAAGAAAAAAUUACCUUAGGGAUAACAGCGUAAUUUUUUUUUUUAGUUCAAAUAGGAAAAAAAGUUUGCGACCUCGAUGUUGGAUUAAGAUAAAAUUUAAAUGCAAAAGUUUAAAAUUUUGAUCUGUUCGAUCAUUAAAAUCUUA
This 511-nucleotide ribosomal RNA is filed under the name Papilio bianor significans. RNAcentral's name for it is "partial 16S ribosomal RNA". Lineage: Eukaryota; Metazoa; Arthropoda; Insecta; Lepidoptera; Papilionidae. The record is from RNAcentral.